AGUGAACGCUGGCGGUAGGCCUAACACAUGCAAGUCGAACGGCAGCACAGUAAGAGCUUGCUCUUACGGGUGGCGAGUGGCGGACGGGUGAGGAAUACAUCGGAAUCUACUUUUUCGUGGGGGAUAACGUAGGGAAACUUACGCUAAUACCGCAUACGACCUACGGGUGAAUGCAGGGGAUCUUCGCACUUUGCGCGAUUGAAUGAGCCGAUGUCGGAUUAGCUAGUUGGCGGGGUAAAGGCCCACCAAGGCGACGAUCCGUAGCUGGUCUGAGGGGAUGAUCAGCCACACUGGAACUGAGACACGGUCCAGACUCCUACGGGAGGCAGCAGUGGGGAAUAUUGGACAAUGGGCGCAAGCCUGAUCCAGCCAUACCGCGUGGGUGAAGAAGGCCUUCGGGUUGUAAAGCCCUUUUGUUGGGAAAGAAAAGCAGCAGGUUAAUACCCCGCUGUUCUGACGGUACCCAAAGAAUAAGCACCGGCUAACUUCGUG
Molecule: ribosomal RNA, 492 nt
Filed under: uncultured bacterium
Lineage: Bacteria
Description: partial 16S ribosomal RNA
Rfam family: Bacterial small subunit ribosomal RNA
Source: RNAcentral